UUCAUAAAAUUCGCACAGGGUCUUGCAACGCAUCAACCGCGCACGCGUGACAAUAGAAAGAAAUAAAGAGCUCUGCUUCUCAGUAAGAAGCAUGACAAUCGACACCGCCCCCAUGGAAGACAUCCAGGCCAAGGCCGAGGAGCUCCGUCUCCAACUCUCCUCCCUCCACUUCAACUCUGCAGCUCCACCUCCUAACCAAGACUUAUAUAAUAAUAAUACUGAGAACAAUUUUGGUGAUGCCCAAGAAGUGUUCUACGACGACGACGGUUUGCUUUUCAAUAUUGGGUUCGGAAAUGUGAUCGUCGUUGAUAACGUUUCGAUUGUGAAGGCGGAGAUGGCCCAGCAGCUCGAAAGCGAAAUCCGACGAGUGUUUAGUGAAGUUGGUGUUAUUAAAGAAGAUGGGUUUUCGAUGCCUCUUAAUCCCCUGAACCAGAAAACCUUGGGUCGUUGUUUUCUAGAGUUCAGUUCUCGUCAGGAAGCUGAACUUGCUAGGGUCAAGAGAGAUGGAUACAACUUCAACACACAAGCGCUGUCAGUAACCCUGUAUGAUGACUUGGACAGGUUCAUUGAUAUCACUGAUGUGGGGACAACACCAGAAACUAAUCCAUCCGCUUGUUUGGUGAUGAUGGAAACAUGUGUUAGCAGCCUCCUUAAAGCUUUUCUUCUGGAAAUAUGAAUUGCAUAUCUACACCAACCAAGCAAACUAUCAGGGGUAGGACCACUAAACAAGAAUCAAGCAUCUCUCAACCAAGCAAACCUAAUCCAUCUCCUUGUGUGUCCUCAAGGUAUUCAGUGCCACCAUCCUUACACAGCCCCUUGAAAGAGGAAGAUGAAGUACCUGGAGAAGAACGCCAAGAAGACCACAGCAAAAGGAGCAAGAUUUAGGGGAAGUCACUGCAUCAAUGGGAGUGAUGGGUUUUGUAGGGGAACGACAGUAUGAAGAAUAGAAAUGUGCAUGAAAAUUUAAAGGGAUGAAGAUGCCAAUGAUGGGAAAGGAGACAUGUGCUGAAAUCAAUUGAAUUUCAAGUGCUGUAAUUUUGAAGAUUAAGUCCAGUCUGGAUUUACUUACGAUCGAAUAUACGGACAUUUUUCAUCCCUUGUUGCUCAACCAACCUCAUAAAAUUGCUUUCAAGCCAGCCAU
RNA transcript from Prunus avium (sweet cherry), 1141 nucleotides. It is a transcript of the gene named eukaryotic translation initiation factor 3 subunit B-like, with no coding region annotated. Lineage: Eukaryota; Viridiplantae; Streptophyta; Magnoliopsida; Rosales; Rosaceae. The record is from RefSeq and is a predicted model, not a curated record.